RNAcentral lists this ribosomal RNA (422 nucleotides) under Neopestalotiopsis clavispora. Its description in RNAcentral is "eukaryotic LSU rRNA". The stretch from base 47 to 200 matches the Rfam family "5.8S ribosomal RNA". The record is from RNAcentral. Lineage: Eukaryota; Fungi; Ascomycota; Sordariomycetes; Amphisphaeriales; Sporocadaceae.
ACUCUUGUUAUUUUAUGUAAUCUGAGCGUCUUAUUUUAAUAAAUCAAAACUUUCACAACGGAUCUCUUGGUUCUGGCAUCGAUGAACAACGCAGCGAAAUGCGAUAAGUAAUGUGAAUUGCAGAAUUCAGUGAAUCAUCGAAUCUUUGAACGCACAUUGCGCCCAUUAGUAUUCUAGUGGGCAUGCCUGUUCGAGCGUCAUUUCAACCCUUAAGCCUAGCUUAGUGUUGGGAAUCUACUUCUUUAUAGUUGUAGUUCCUGAAAUACAACGGCGGAUUUGUAGUAUCCUCUGAGCGUAGUAAUUUUUUUCUCGCUUUUGUUAGGUGCUAUAACUCCCAGCCGCUAAACCCCCAAUUUUUUGUGGUUGACCUCGGAUCAAGUAGGAAUACCCGCUGAACUUAAGCAUAUCAAUAAGCGGAGGAA